Molecule: ribosomal RNA, 515 nt
Filed under: uncultured bacterium
Lineage: Bacteria
Description: partial 16S ribosomal RNA
Rfam family: Bacterial small subunit ribosomal RNA
Source: RNAcentral
GAUGAACGCUGGCGGCGCGCCUAAUACAUGCAAGUCGAGCGAAUGGAUUAAGAGCUUGCUCUUAUGAAGUUAGCGGCGGACGGGUGAGUAACACGUGGGUAACCUGCCCAUAAGACUGGGAUAACUCCGGGAAACCGGGGCUAAUACCGGAUAACAUUUUGAACCGCAUGGUUCGAAAUUGAAAGGCGGCUUCGGCCGUCACUUAUGGAUGGACCCGCGUCGCAUUAGCUAGUUGGUGAGGUAACGGCUCACCAAGGCAACGAUGCGUAGCCGACCUGAGAGGGUGAUCGGCCACACUGGGACUGAGACACGGCCCAGACUCCUACGGGAGGCAGCAGUAGGGAAUCUUCCGCAAUGGACGAAAGUCUGACGGAGCAACGCCGCGUGAGUGAUGAAGGCUUUCGGGUCGUAAAACUCUGUUGUUAGGGAAGAACAAGUGCUAGUUGAAUAAGCUGGCACCUUGACGGUACCUAACCAGAAGGCCACGGCUAACUACGUGCCAGCCGCCGCAGUAA